This 480-nucleotide ribosomal RNA is filed under the name uncultured Rhodocyclaceae bacterium. Its description in RNAcentral is "bacterial SSU rRNA". It matches the Rfam family "Bacterial small subunit ribosomal RNA", at positions 900 to 1382 of the family's 1533-position model. Lineage: Bacteria; Pseudomonadati; Pseudomonadota; Betaproteobacteria; Rhodocyclales; Rhodocyclaceae. The record is from RNAcentral.
CUUAAAUGAAUUGACGGGACCGCACAAGCGGUGGAUGAUGUGGAUUAAUUCGAUGCAACGCGAAAACCUUACCUACCCUUGACAUGUCCGGAAUCCCGAAGAGAUUUGGGAGUGCUCGCAAGAGAACCGGAACACAGGUGCUGCAUGGCUGUCGUCAGCUCGUGUCGUGAGAUGUUGGGUUAAGUCCCGCAACGAGCGCAACCCUUGUCAUUAGUUGCCAUCAUUUGGUUGGGCACUCUAAUGAGACUGCCGGUGACAAACCGGAGGAAGGUGGGGAUGACGUCAAGUCCUCAUGGCCCUUAUGGGUAGGGCUUCACACGUCAUACAAUGGUCGGUACGGAGGGUUGCCAACCCGCGAGGGGGAGCUAAUCCCACAAAGCCGAUCGUAGUCCGGAUCGCAGUCUGCAACUCGACUGCGUGAAGUCGGAAUCGCUAGUAAUCGUGGAUCAGCAUGUCACGGUGAAUACGUUCCCGGGCCUU